UUAAUUAAAUCCAAAAUUUGAGGAAUAUUAUUGUUAAUAAUAUAAUUGAAUAAAAAAUUCUAAUUAAA
Molecule: transfer RNA, 68 nt
Filed under: Muscidifurax similadanacus
Lineage: Eukaryota; Metazoa; Arthropoda; Insecta; Hymenoptera; Pteromalidae
Description: tRNA-Asn
Source: RNAcentral